RNAcentral lists this unclassified non-coding RNA (376 nucleotides) under uncultured Actinomycetes bacterium. RNAcentral's name for it is "uncultured actinobacterium contains 16S-23S intergenic spacer region". Lineage: Bacteria; Bacillati; Actinomycetota; Actinomycetes. The record is from RNAcentral.
UCCGGUUUGUCACCGGCAGUCCCAUUAGAGUGCUCAACUGAAUGUAGCAACUAAUGGCAAGGGUUGCGCUCGUUGCGGGACUUAACCCAACAUCUCACGACACGAGCUGACGACAGCCAUGCACCACCUGUGAUCCUGUCCCGAAGGAAAAGUGUGUUUCCACACCGGUCAGGAACAUGUCAAGCCCAGGUAAGGUUCUUCGCGUUGCGUCGAAUUAAACCACAUGCUCCGCUGCUUGUGCGGGUCCCCGUCAAUUCCUUUGAGUUUUAGCCUUGCGGCCGUACUCCCCAGGCGGGGAACUUAAUGCGUUAGCUGCGGCACGGAAGGCGUUGAUAACCCCCCACACCUAGUUCCCACCGUUUACGGCGUGGACUAC